RNAcentral lists this long non-coding RNA (409 nucleotides) under Mytilus galloprovincialis (Mediterranean mussel). Lineage: Eukaryota; Metazoa; Mollusca; Bivalvia; Mytilida; Mytilidae. The record is from RNAcentral.
GCUCUCUAACCGAUCUAUUCGUUUACCGGACCGGCAACUUUCUCUAUUUAAUCAGGGGCGUAGCUAGAAAGAAACGAUGUGGAAGCAACUACCGCCGAGCGGAGCGAGGCGAAAACAUUUUGGGACCCUAUUAUGCAGAAUUUUUUUUUUCGGUUUUCGGUCAUAGGACGGUUAAAAGAGGAGCUAUAUGUAGAUAAAAAUUUAUGAAUGUAAAACUAUUAAUAAAUCUUCUGAAUAUAGUAAUACAUAAACAACACAUAUUUGUGAUACAGAAUUUACUCAAAAUUGUCCAAAAUCUGCUCUUCGGGUCUGGGCAGAAACAAACUUCUCUAUUACUUUGUCAACAUUCACACUGAAAUCCCGAUGAAUAUGCAGUAAUGCUAUGUAACUUUCGUUGUUGAUUGUUGAU